RNAcentral lists this ribosomal RNA (468 nucleotides) under uncultured bacterium. RNAcentral's name for it is "partial 16S ribosomal RNA". It matches the Rfam family "Bacterial small subunit ribosomal RNA", at positions 28 to 507 of the family's 1533-position model. The record is from RNAcentral.
GACGAACGCUGGCGGCGUGCUUAACACAUGCAAGUCGAACGGAAAGGCCCUGCUUUUGUGGGGUGCUCGAGUGGCGAACGGGUGAGUAACACGUGAGUAACCUGCCCUUGACUUUGGGAUAACUUCAGGGAACUGGGGCUAAUACCGGAUAGGAGCUCCUGCUGCAUGGUGGGGGUUGGAAAGUUUCGGCGGUUGGGGAUGGACUCGCGGCUUAUCAGCUUGUUGGUGGGGUAGUGGCUUACCAAGGCUUUGACGGGUAGCCGGCCUGAGAGGGUGACCGGCCACAUUGGGACUGAGAUACGGCCCAGACUCCUACGGGAGGCAGCAGUGGGGAAUAUUGCACAAUGGGCGGAAGCCUGAUGCAGCAACGCCGCGUGCGGGAUGACGGCCUUCGGGUUGUAAACCGCUUUCGCCUGUGACGAAGCGUCAGUGACGGUAAUGGGUAAAGAAGCACCGGCUAACUACGUG